UACGUAGGGGGCAAGCGUUAUCCGGAAUCACUGGGCGUAAAGGGUGCGUAGGCGGCCAUUAAAGUCAGAGGUGAAAUCCCAGGGCUCAACCCUGGUAAGCCUUUGAAACUUAAUGGCUUGAGUACAGGAGAGGAGAGUAGAAUUCCUAGUGUAGCGGUGAAAUGCGUAGAUAUUAGGAGGAAUACCAGUGGCGAAGGCGACUCUCUGGACUGUAACUGACGCUGAGGCACGAAAGCGUGGGUAGCGAACAGG
This 252-nucleotide ribosomal RNA is filed under the name uncultured bacterium. RNAcentral describes it as "partial 16S ribosomal RNA". It matches the Rfam family "Bacterial small subunit ribosomal RNA", at positions 524 to 776 of the family's 1533-position model. The record is from RNAcentral.